GCCGCAGUGGCGGAACUGGCAGACGCGCUACGUUCAGGGCGUAGUGGGAGUAGCUCCCAUGGGGGUUCAAGUCCCUCCUGCGGCACCA
Molecule: transfer RNA, 88 nt
Filed under: Caldilineaceae bacterium
Lineage: Bacteria; Bacillati; Chloroflexota; Caldilineae; Caldilineales; Caldilineaceae
Description: tRNA-Leu
Rfam family: tRNA
About the family: Transfer RNA (tRNA) molecules are approximately 80 nucleotides in length. Their secondary structure includes four short double-helical elements and three loops (D, anti-codon, and T loops).
Source: RNAcentral